GGUCCACUAGCUCAAUUGGCAGAGCAACUGACUCUUAAUCAGUGGGUUCGGGGUUCAAGUCCCCGGUGGAUCA
RNAcentral lists this transfer RNA (73 nucleotides) under Anaerolineaceae bacterium. Its description in RNAcentral is "tRNA-Lys". It matches the Rfam family "tRNA". From Rfam's summary of the family: Transfer RNA (tRNA) molecules are approximately 80 nucleotides in length. RNAcentral also lists the same sequence under 2 other names. The record is from RNAcentral. Lineage: Bacteria; Bacillati; Chloroflexota; Anaerolineae; Anaerolineales; Anaerolineaceae.